GGAAUAUUGCACAAUGGAGGGAACUCUGAUGCAGCGACGCCGCGUGAGUGAAGAAGUAAUUCGUUAUGUAAAGCUCUAUCAGCAGGGAAGAAAGUGACGGUACCUGAAAAAGAAGCCCCGGCUAAAUACGUGCCAGCAGCCGCGGUAAUACGUAUGGAGCAAGCGUUAUCCGGAAUUACUGGGUGUAAAGGGAGCGUAGACGGUGAUGUAAGUCUGGAGUGAAAGGCGGGGGCCCAACCCCCGGACUGCUCUGGAAACUAUGUGACUGGAGUGCAGGAGAGGUGAGCGGAAUUCCUAGUGUAGCGGUGAAAUGCGUAGAUAUUAGGAGGAACACCAGUGGCGAAGGCGGCUCACUGGACUGUAACUGACGUUGAGGCUCGAAAGCGUGGGGAGCAAACAG
This 400-nucleotide ribosomal RNA is filed under the name uncultured bacterium. RNAcentral describes it as "bacterial SSU rRNA". It matches the Rfam family "Bacterial small subunit ribosomal RNA", at positions 358 to 775 of the family's 1533-position model. The record is from RNAcentral.